Long non-coding RNA from Pseudopipra pipra, 581 nucleotides. RefSeq lists it as uncharacterized. The record is from RefSeq and is a predicted model, not a curated record. The transcript has 3 exons. Lineage: Eukaryota; Metazoa; Chordata; Aves; Passeriformes; Pipridae.
GCAACAGAAGUUUGGCAGACCAAGUUCUACUCAAACCUACAUAAUGCCAUGAUCUAUUAUGGGGCUGCUGAAGAAGGACUGUUGGCAGAAUAUGGCCUUCACACCAUUUUAAGAGCUGCUCUGUUAAAACAUAUGUCAGAAUAAGAUGAGUUACUAGAUUUUGAACUUCUGCGAUCUGCUUGGCUUGACCAUACCAUGAUGCAUAAACCUUAAGACAGAGUUGGUACAGUCUUCACCAGCAAUGUCUCCUUGAAUGGCCUCCACAAUGAAUGCUAAUUAAAAAAAGUUCUCAAGCUGCAGAGAUACCAGCAGAAAAAAAGCAGGGAUCAAUUUUAAAGACACUGGGGAAAAUAGUGAAAAACUGAGAAACCCAUAGCUGCCCAAGAGCUACUCCCAAAGCCUACUGGAACAUAACCAAAGUAUCAGUGAGGAUGAAUGGUAUUUUACCAAUCAACUGCACAUCAAGCUGUGAUGUCUCAAAGUUGCUAUUUUAUGUUUGAGUCCUAAGAGGACUUCUGAUGAACAUGCUCUACAUUUGCAGUGAAGCGGUAAACAAAAUCAGGUACGUAGGAUGUAUGCUG